Catharus ustulatus (Swainson's thrush) is the source of this 573-nucleotide long non-coding RNA. RefSeq lists it as uncharacterized. NCBI's taxonomy places the organism in Eukaryota, Metazoa, Chordata, Aves, Passeriformes, Turdidae. The transcript is spliced from 3 exons. The record is from RefSeq and is a predicted model, not a curated record.
ACAGGUAACACACACAGGUACAGACAGGUAACACACACAGGUACCCGUCCUGGAUCCCGAUGAGCUGGGGACAGGUAACACAGGUAACACAGGUGAGAGACAGGUAACACAGGUGAGAGACAGGUAACACACACAGGUACCCGUCCUGGAUCCCGAUGAGCUACAGGUGAGACAGGUGAGAGACAGUGAGAGACAGGUGAGACAGGUGAGACAGGUGAGAUACAGGUAACACACACAGGUACCCGUCCUGGAUCCCGAUGAGCUACAGGUGAGAGACAGGUGAGAGACAGGUAUGGACAGGUGAGAGACAGGUACGGACAGGUAACACACACACAGGUACCCGUCCUGGAUCCCGAUGAGCUGUGGGACAGGUAACACAGGUGAGAGACAGGUGAGAGACAGGUGAGAUACAGGUAACACACACAGGUACCCGUCCUGGAUCCCGAUGAGCUACAGGUGAGACAGGUGAGAGACAGGUGAGAGACAGGUACGGACAGGUAACACACACAGGUACCCGUCCUGGAUCCCGAUGAGCUAAACAGGUAACACAGGUGAGAGACAAGUGAGAGACAG